Molecule: ribosomal RNA, 468 nt
Filed under: uncultured bacterium
Lineage: Bacteria
Description: partial 16S ribosomal RNA
Rfam family: Bacterial small subunit ribosomal RNA
Source: RNAcentral
GACGAACGCUGGCGGCGUGCUUAACACAUGCAAGUCGAACGGAAAGGCCCUGCUUUUGUGGGGUGCUCGAGUGGCGAACGGGUGAGUAACACGUGAGUAACCUGCCCUUGACUUUGGGAUAACUUCAGGAAACUGGGGCUAAUACCGGAUAGGAGCUCCUGCUGCAUGGUGGGGGUUGGAAAGUUUCGGCGGUUGGGGAUGGACUCGCGGCUUAUCAGCUUGUUGGUGGGGUAGUGGCUUACCAAGGCUUUGACGGGUAGCCGGCCUGAGAGGGUGACCGGCCACAUUGGGACUGAGAUACGGCCCAGACUCCUACGGGAGGCAGCAGUGGCGAAUAUUGCACAAUGGGCGGAAGCCUGAUGCAGCAACGCCGCGUGCGGGAUGACGGCCUUCGGGUUGUACACCGCUUUCGCCUGUGACGAAGCGUGAGUGACGGUAAUGGGUAAAGAAGCACCGGCUAACUACGUG